Molecule: ribosomal RNA, 276 nt
Filed under: uncultured bacterium
Lineage: Bacteria
Description: partial 16S ribosomal RNA
Rfam family: Bacterial small subunit ribosomal RNA
Source: RNAcentral
GACGAACGCUGGCGGCGUGCUUAACACAUGCAAGUCGAGCGGUAAGGCCCUUUCGGGGGUACGACGAGCGGCGAACGGGUGAGUAACACGUGGGUGACCUGCCCUCAGCUCUGGGAUAAGCCUGGGAAACCGGGUCUAAUACCGGAUAUGACUCCAUGACGCAUGUUGUGGGGUGGAAAGCCUUGUGCGGCUGAGGAUGGGCCCGCGGCCUAUCAGCUUGUUGGUGGGGUGAUGGCCUACCAAGGCGACGACGGGUAGCCGGCCUGAGAGGGUGGU